CCUACGGGAGGCAGCAGUGGGGAAUAUUGGACAAUGGGGGGAACCCUGAUCCAGCCAUGCCGCGUGUGUGAAGAAGGCCCUCGGGUUGUAAAGCACUUUCAGUGAGGAAGAACGCCUGGUGGUUAAUACCCAUCAGGAAAGACAUCACUCACAGAAGAAGCACCGGCUAACUCCGUGCCAGCAGCCGCGGUAAUACGGAGGGUGCGAGCGUUAAUCGGAAUUACUGGGCGUAAAGCGCGCGUAGGUGGCUUGAUAAGCCGGUUGUGAAAGCCCCGGGCUCAACCUGGGAACGGCAUCCGGAACUGUCAAGCUAGAGUGCAGGAGAGGAAGGUAGACUUCCCGGGGUAGCGGUGAAAUGCGUAGAGAUCGGGAGGAAUACCAGUGGCGAAGGCGGCCUUCUGGACUGACACUGACACUGAGGUGCGAAAGCGUGGGUAGCAAACAGGAUUAGAUACCCCGGUAGUC
Molecule: ribosomal RNA, 465 nt
Filed under: Vreelandella stevensii
Lineage: Bacteria; Pseudomonadati; Pseudomonadota; Gammaproteobacteria; Oceanospirillales; Halomonadaceae
Description: partial 16S ribosomal RNA
Rfam family: Bacterial small subunit ribosomal RNA
Source: RNAcentral